GAUGAACGCUGGCGGCGUGCUUAACACAUGCAAGUCGAACGGACUUUUAAUGAAGCCUAGCGAUUUAAAAGUUAGUGGCGGACGGGUGAGUAACGCGUGGGUAACCUGCCUUAUACAGGGGGAUAACACUUAGAAAUAGGUGCUAAUACCGCAUAAGCGCACAGUAUCGCAUGAUACAGUGUGAAAAACUCCGGUGGUAUAAGAUGGACCCGCGUCUGAUUAGCUAGUUGGUGAGGUAACGGCUCACCAAGGCGACGAUCAGUAGCCGGCCUGAGAGGGUGAACGGCCACAUUGGGACUGAGACACGGCCCAAACUCCUACGGGAGGCAGCAGUGGGGAAUAUUGCACAAUGGGGGAAACCCUGAUGCAGCGACGCCGCGUGAGUGAAGAAGUAUUUCGGUAUGUAAAGCUCUAUCAGCAAGGAAGAAAAUGACGGUACUUGACUAAGAAGCCCCGGCUAACUACGUG
Molecule: ribosomal RNA, 468 nt
Filed under: uncultured bacterium
Lineage: Bacteria
Description: bacterial SSU rRNA
Rfam family: Bacterial small subunit ribosomal RNA
Source: RNAcentral